AUUGAACGCUGGCGGCAGGCUUAACACAUGCAAGUCGAGCGAGCGGCGGACGGGUGAGUAAUGUCUGGGAACGUGCCUGAUGGAGGGGGAUAACUACUGGAAAGGGUAGCUAAUACCGCAUACCAUCAGAUGUGCCGAGAUGGGAUUAGCUAGUAGGUGGGGUAAUGGCUCACCAAGGCGACGAUCCCUAGCUGGUUUGAGAGGAUGACCAGCCACACUGGGACUGAGACACGGUCCAGACUCCUACGGGAGGCAGCAGUGGGGAAUAUUGGACAAUGGGCGCAAGCCUGAUGCAGCCAUGCCGCGUGUGUGAAGAAGGCCUUCGGGUUGUAAAGUACUUUCGGCGAGGAGGCGUUACUCGCAGAAGAAGCACCGGCUAACUACGUGCCAGCAGCCGCGGUAAUAC
This 406-nucleotide ribosomal RNA is filed under the name uncultured bacterium. RNAcentral's name for it is "partial 16S ribosomal RNA". It matches the Rfam family "Bacterial small subunit ribosomal RNA", at positions 30 to 526 of the family's 1533-position model. The record is from RNAcentral.